Molecule: ribosomal RNA, 492 nt
Filed under: uncultured bacterium
Lineage: Bacteria
Description: partial 16S ribosomal RNA
Rfam family: Bacterial small subunit ribosomal RNA
Source: RNAcentral
AGUGAACGCUGGCGGUAGGCCUAACACAUGCAAGUCGAACGGCAGCACAGUAAGAGCUUGCUCUUACGGGUGGCGAGUGGCGGACGGGUGAGGUAUACAUCGGAAUCUACUUUUUCGUGGGGGAUAACGUAGGGAAACUUACGCUAAUACCGCAUACGACCUACGGGUGAAAGCAGGGGAUCUUCGGACCUUGCGCGAUUGAAUGAGCCGAUGUCAGAUUAGCUAGUUGGCGGGGUAAAGGCCCACCAAGGCGACGAUCCGUAGCUGGUCUGAGAGGAUGAUCAGCCACACUGGAACUGAGACACGGUCCAGACUCCUACGGGAGGCAGCAGUGGGGAAUAUUGGACAAUGGGCGCAAGCCUGAUCCAGCCAUACCGCGUGGGUGAAGAAGGCCUUCGGGUUGUAAAGCCCUUUUGUUGGGAAAGAAAAGCAGCAGGUUAAUACCCCGCUGUUCUGACGGUACCCAAAGAAUAAGCACCGGCUAACUUCGUG